This is a long non-coding RNA of Lactuca sativa (garden lettuce), 1520 nucleotides long. RefSeq lists it as uncharacterized. The record is from RefSeq and is a predicted model, not a curated record. Lineage: Eukaryota; Viridiplantae; Streptophyta; Magnoliopsida; Asterales; Asteraceae.
GGGUUUAAAACCAAUUCAUUCUUAUGUUACUUUUCCUUUCCUUUGACAGUCGCAAGAUAUUGAAAAGAAAGUUGAAGAUGGGGGACCAAUAAUGUAAAUUGGUAUUUAAACAAAUUGAUGGUUACGUAACUUUUCCAUGUUAACGUAACGUUGUCUAUUAAUGUCAUAGAGGGGUCGAACCGAUUCUGGCCCCUCAUCCGUUUCCCUCUCGUGCGAAUUAAGAAGUGAUCCCACACCUUCGGUUCCCGCUUGGCGUCGACAGUAAACGAACAAAAAAAAAUCCCGAUACUUUGGCCAUCGUUCCAGCAGGCGUCGAUCAAGGAGAAGAAGCAAAAAAAAACACACACGAUUGGCAUUGAGGGGGAGGUUGCGAUCGGCUUAGUAGGGGCUGUGGGCUCCGAUUUUUGUUUCAAACUCGUUGGAUCGAUCACACACCUUGGUGAAAACUUGACAACUUCAAGAAGGGUCAAGGCUUGAAUUAGAAAGGAGAACUCGCUUCAAACAUAAGGUAUCUUAGGAGCAUGGCUUGGUGAGGUUGGGUUCCUUUUGGGUAGUUAGUUUUAAUAAAGAUGCCACAUGAACACGUUUGGUUUUUAUUUUCCUUUGAACUCCUUUUUGCAAUAAUUAAAUGGUUUAAUGUUGUUUAUGAAAAUGGUAACGUGUGGUUUUGAAAAUGUUUUGAAUUAAAAAGAAACUAAGUCUUCCGCUAACGUAUUUUGUUAAAUAAAUGUUUUAAAAAGAAAAAAAAAUUAUGGUGAAAAUCACGACGUUACAAGUUGGUAUCAGAGCCAUGCUGGGAGUGAACUGAAUGCAGAUGCCGGUGUUCAGACUCACAACUUAGUUGGCUCAGUUAGGACCUUUACGUACUUAAAGGGGGGAGGGUGUGUGUUGAGCGUUUUAGGAUAAUGCUUGUAAAAUAUUUCCAUUCCUAAUAUUUGUUUAUGUAUAAAAGAAAUGAAACUCUUUAUGAAUUAGGAUAAUGUCGAAUGCUAUGGAGAAUGUGAAUGAUGGAGAAGCGGGCGGCAGCCAGAACAACCGCACUCCCGGGACGCCGCCGUUCAUGUUUCAGACCCCACCUAUUAACCGCCAGCCACGAGCCCAACCAUCACGGAGUGCACGCAACACAUCAAGUGCCGCCAUCAUUGCUGAUCUUCAGGAGCAGCUCCAGGAGCGGGAUAGGACGUUGGAGCAGAUGCGGCAGGCGAUGCAUGCCGCCGGACUCUUGCCACUUGAGGGCGUGAACGAGGGUGGAGAUCAAUCGUUUGAUGAUGAGGCACAUAGUCGUUCCGUGUCAAGGCAGGAGGUUGUUGGAGCUGCUAGACGUCGAGGGAGUUCAUUCAAAACCUUCAUGGAUUGUAAGCCGCCUACCUUUGAAGGAGGCGAGAGUGUCGUGGCGUGCCUUCGUUGGAUUAGGAAGAUGGACCAAACCUUCUGAUCUGGUGAAUUUAAUGAGGACCAGAAGGUGAAUUAUGCGGUGCAAACAUUUGACAAGGAAGCACUCGAGUGGUGGGACGCUAUUG